AGGUCUUUAGUAUUCGGAGCUAAGUAGUAUGGUGCCCGACAGCAACUCCUUAGCUUGCAUCUUCAAAAAUAAACCUACUUCCAUCUUUAAUGUCUCAAUUUUUCCCUUUCAGGGUUCUUUUGAAGACCCUAACCUGGAGUUACAUGCUGACUACGGUUCUUUGCGGGAAUGGGACCCACUCUCGGGGUUCCACAAUUGGCCACUAUUCGGCAUGCCAAAGUCUUGGCCUAAGAUUUCAGCAUGGAUUCAGAAGCCUAGGAUCACAAGUAACUGAGGAGUAACUGAAGUAAGGAGACGGGCGAAUGAAAGGUCGGUGUUGCCACAGGAGAUCCGUGUGUCAUUGGGAGAGUCAGAACACCUACUGUGUCCCUGGGGACUUGGGAUCCUUGUGAUCUUCAGGCACAGAGCUCAGAAAAAGUGACAUAACAGACUUUUAACGUUGUAAUCCAGCGAGUUGUCUGUUAUCUCUUUUGCUUGUUGGAAAAUGGAAUGGAGUGACCUCCUUCUCCCUUACUAGGAGAGAGAGAGCCUACAGCAUGUCGAAUUAUCAGACUUUGGAAUAAGCAAGAGAAUUCAGAGAAGACAAUAUUCCCAUUGUUGGCUGAAUAUCUGCCCAGUAACUCCGAAGUUGCUUUAAGAGACAUUAAUUUUUGAACAAAGCACGUUUAGCAAUGGAUCAGUGGUGCUCAAUUUUUCUGAUGGGAAGGACGACUAACAUGAAUGCAGGAAUUUAAUCAUCAUAUUAGCACAACAGCAGGCAUGGAAGACUAGUGGCUGCAUCUUCUAAACAAUGAUGAAAAGAAGGAAAAAUGGAUUCACUGAAUAGGAAGAUCUGCCAAAAGAAGGAAGAGGAGAAGGGGUCUGAAUAACAGAUAAACAAGGUGUUUGCAGCUGAACAAAGCAUCAAUAAAGAGACAUGCUAUCACUUUAUUUGACAUCUUGUAGUCAACAAGUUUGAUAUUGGCAUGCCAUACUGCAGAUGAGCUGCUUGUGGGAGGACAUAAUACGUCUUUCAGUUCCUGAACACCUCAGUGUAAAUCAAGCCGGCUGCUCGUGUUUAAUAUUUAUACAUACUAAAUGUCUUAGACCAGUUCAGAAUUAGGUUCUAUUUGUGGUAGGUUAUUGGGCAAGAGUGGUCAAUAAAUGUUAUGAAUGUUGCCAAGGUUUAUUGCAAACAAUUUCAUGACUAGGAUCAGAACAGUCUAAAUUCUAGACCAGGCAUGGGCAAACUACUGCCCGCGGGCCAUAUGUGGCCCGUUAAGCUUUUUAAUCCGGCCCGCAGAACUUGAUGAAAUUAUAUUAAUAAACCUUGUUAACGUUUUUUCCCCGCAAUUCUGGCGUCUUCCCAAUAGAUGACGCACUCUAUAUACAUUGACCUUUGUUGAGGUGCAGCGUAUUACUCCACAUCUGUGCUUUACUUUGUGAUCUUGUGGCGACCCAUUUCCUGGCACAUCCGAACCGGCUCACAAUUAGCCAGCGUUCCGGCUAAGGGAGAUAGCCUGCGGGGAUUUGUGAGCACAGAGCUCCGCAUAUUGGCAUGCUCUCACUGUUCUGUCAUUGUGUGGGCCGUUGUUGAGUUUUGUCACAGGGGACAAUUGAAUAAGAAGGAGCAGGACAAGUAGACCUGCAUCUCCUACCGUUUUUGAAAUAAAGACAGUCAGGAGGAGAGUGAUGAUGAUAAUAUCUUG
Long non-coding RNA from Hypanus sabinus (Atlantic stingray), 1688 nucleotides. RefSeq lists it as uncharacterized. Lineage: Eukaryota; Metazoa; Chordata; Chondrichthyes; Myliobatiformes; Dasyatidae. The record is from RefSeq and is a predicted model, not a curated record. The transcript is spliced from 4 exons.